AUUGAACGCUGGCGGCAUGCCUUACACAUGCAAGUCGAACGGCAGCGGACCUUCGGGUGCUGACGAGUGGCGAACGGGUGAGUAAUGCAUCGGAACGUGCCCAAUCGUGGGGGAUAACGUAGCGAAAGUUACGCUAAUACCGCAUAAGCCCUGAGGGGGAAAGUGGGGGACCGCAAGGCCUCACGCGAAUGGAGCGGCCGAUGUCAGAUUAGCUAGUUGGUGGGGUAAAGGCUCACCAAGGCGACGAUCUGUAGCGGGUCUGAGAGGAUGAUCCGCCACACUGGGACUGAGACACGGCCCAGACUCCUACGGGAGGCAGCAGUGGGGAAUUUUGGACAAUGGGCGCAAGCCUGAUCCAGCCAUGCCGCGUGCGGGACGAAGGCCUCGGUUGUAACGCUUCAGCCGGAAGAAUACGCUGUUUUAAUUACUAGACGGUGGAUGAC
This 443-nucleotide ribosomal RNA is filed under the name uncultured bacterium. RNAcentral describes it as "bacterial SSU rRNA". It matches the Rfam family "Bacterial small subunit ribosomal RNA", at positions 29 to 476 of the family's 1533-position model. The record is from RNAcentral.